AGCGGCGGACGGGUGAGUAAUGUCUGGGAAACUGCCUGAUGGAGGGGGAUAACUACUGGAAACGGUAGCUAAUACCGCAUACCAUCAGAUGUGCCCAGAUGGGAUUAGCUAGUAGGUGGGGUAACGGCUCACCUAGGCGACGAUCCCUAGCUGGUCUGAGAGGAUGACCAGCCACACUGGAACUGAGACACGGUCCAGACUCCUACGGGAGGCAGCAGUGGGGAAUAUUGCACAAUGGGCGCAAGCCUGAUGCAGCCAUGCCGCGUGUGUGAAGAAGGCCUUCGGGUUGUAAAGCACUUUCAGCGGGGAGGCGUUACCCGCAGAAGAAGCACCGGCUAACUCCGUGCCAGCAGCCGCGGUAAUACGGAGGGUGCAAGUGUUAAUCGGAAUUACUGGGCGUAAAGCGCACGCAGGCGGUCUGUCAAGUCGGAUGUGAAUCCCCGGGCUUAACCUGGGAACUGCAUUCGAAACUGGCAGCUAGAGUCUUUAGAGGGGGGUAGAAUUCCAGGUGUAGCGGUGAAAUGCGUAGAGAUCUGGAGGA
This 541-nucleotide ribosomal RNA is filed under the name uncultured bacterium. Its description in RNAcentral is "bacterial SSU rRNA". It matches the Rfam family "Bacterial small subunit ribosomal RNA", at positions 94 to 705 of the family's 1533-position model. The record is from RNAcentral.